This 465-nucleotide ribosomal RNA is filed under the name Vreelandella stevensii. Its description in RNAcentral is "partial 16S ribosomal RNA". It matches the Rfam family "Bacterial small subunit ribosomal RNA", at positions 338 to 795 of the family's 1533-position model. Lineage: Bacteria; Pseudomonadati; Pseudomonadota; Gammaproteobacteria; Oceanospirillales; Halomonadaceae. The record is from RNAcentral.
CCUACGGGGCGCAGCAGUGGGGAAUAUUGGACAAUGGGCGAAAGCCUGAUCCAGCCAUGCCGCGUGUGUGAAGAAGGCCUUCGGGUUGUAAAGCACUUUCAGUGGGGAAGAAAGCCUUGGGGCUAAUACCCUCGAGGAAGGACAUCACCCACAGAAGAAGCACCGGCUAACUCCGUGCCAGCAGCCGCGGUAAUACGGAGGGUGCGAGCGUUAAUCGGAAUUACUGGGCGUAAAGCGCGCGUAGGCGGUCUGAUAAGCCGGUUGUGAAAGCCCCGGGCUCAACCUGGGAACGGCAUCCGGAACUGUCAGGCUAGAGUGCAGGAGAGAAAGGUAGAAUUCCCGGUGUAGCGGUGAAAUGCGUAGAGAUCGGGAGGAAUACCAGUGGCGAAGGCGGCCUUCUGGACUGACACUGACGCUGAGGUGCGAAAGCGUGGGUAGCAAACAGGAUUAGAUACCCGAGUAGUC